UUAUGGCUCAGGAUGAACGCUAGCUACAGGCUUAACACAUGCAAGUCGAGGGGCAGCAUUGGGAUAGCUUGCAUUUCAGAUGGCGACCGGCGCACGGGUGAGUAACGCGUAUCCAACCUUCCUGCCAGUAGGGAACAGCCCGGCGAAAGUCGGACUAAUGCCCUAUGUUCUUCAAUGCGGACAUCUAAGUUGAAGGAAAGAUUCAUCGCUGGCAGAUGGGGAUGCGUCCGAUUAGCUUGCCGGCGGGGUAACGGCCCACCGGGGCGACGAUCGGUAGGGGUUCUGAGAGGAAGGUCCCCCACACUGGUACUGAGACACGGACCAGACUCCUACGGGAGGCAGCAGUGAGGAAUAUUGGUCAAUGGGCGUAAGCCUGAACCAGCCAAGUAGCGUGCAGGAUGACGGCCCUACGGGUUGUAAACUGCUUUUAUGCGGGGAUAAAGUGCGGCACGUGUGCCGCUUUGCAGGUACCGCAUGAAUAAGGACCGGCUAAUUCCGUGCCAGCAGCUGC
Molecule: ribosomal RNA, 511 nt
Filed under: uncultured bacterium
Lineage: Bacteria
Description: bacterial SSU rRNA
Rfam family: Bacterial small subunit ribosomal RNA
Source: RNAcentral